This 294-nucleotide ribosomal RNA is filed under the name uncultured Pseudomonas sp. Its description in RNAcentral is "partial 16S ribosomal RNA". It matches the Rfam family "Bacterial small subunit ribosomal RNA", at positions 1089 to 1382 of the family's 1533-position model. Lineage: Bacteria; Pseudomonadati; Pseudomonadota; Gammaproteobacteria; Pseudomonadales; Pseudomonadaceae. The record is from RNAcentral.
GUAACGAGCGCAACCCUUGUCCUUAGUUACCAGCACGUUAUGGUGGGCACUCUAAGGAGACUGCCGGUGCAAACCGGAGGAAGGUGGGGAUGACGGUCAAGUCAUCAUGGCCCUUACGGCCUGGGCUACACACGUGCUACAAUGGUCGGUACAAAGGGUUGCCAAGCCGCGAGGUGGAGCUAAUCCCAUAAAACCGAUCGUAGUCCGGAUCGCAGUCUGCAACUCGACUGCGUGAAGUCGGAAUCGCUAGUAAUCGUGAAUCAGAAUGUCACGGUGAAUACGUUCCCGGGCCUU